AGCGUACACGGUGGAUGCCCUGGCAGUCAGAGGCGAUGAAGGACGUGCUAAUCUGCGAUAAGCGUCGGUAAGGUGAUAUGAACCGUUAUAACCGGCGAUUUCCGAAUGGGGAAACCCAGUGUGAUUCGUCACACUAUCAUUAACUGAAUCCAUAGGUUAAUGAGGCGAACCGGGGGAACUGAAACAUCUAAGUACCCCGAGGAAAAGAAAUCAACCGAGAUUCCCCCAGUAGCGGCGAGCGAACGGGGAGGAGCCCAGAGCCUGAAUCAGUGUGUGUGUUAGUGGAAGCGUCUGGAAAGGCGCGCGAUACAGGGUGACAGCCCCGUACACAAAAAUGCACAUACUGUGAGCUCGAUGAGUAGGGCGGGACACGUGGUAUCCUGUCUGAAUAUGGGGGGACCAUCCUCCAAGGCUAAAUACUCCUGACUGACCGAUAGUGAACCAGUACCGUGAGGGAAAGGCGAAAAGAACCCCGGCGAGGGGAGUGAAAAAGAACCUGAAACCGUGUACGUACAAGCAGUGGGAGCCUCUUUAUGGGGUGACUGCGUACCUUUUGUAUAAUGGGUCAGCGACUUAUAUUCUGUAGCAAGGUUAACCGAAUAGGGGAGCCGAAGGGAAACCGAGUCUUAACUGGGCGUUAAGUUGCAGGGUAUAGACCCGAAACCCGGUGAUCUAGCCAUGGGCAGGUUGAAGGUUGGGUAACACUAACUGGAGGACCGAACCGACUAAUGUUGAAAAAUUAGCGGAUGACUUGUGGCUGGGGGUGAAAGGCCAAUCAAACCGGGAGAUAGCUGGUUCUCCCCGAAAGCUAUUUAGGUAGCGCCUCGUGAAUUCAUCUCCGGGGGUAGAGCACUGUUUCGGCAAGGGGGUCAUCCCGACUUACCAACCCGAUGCAAACUGCGAAUACCGGAGAAUGUUAUCACGGGAGACACACGGCGGGUGCUAACGUCCGUCGUGAAGAGGGAAACAACCCAGACCGCCAGCUAAGGUCCCAAAGUCAUGGUUAAGUGGGAAACGAUGUGGGAAGGCCCAGACAGCCAGGAUGUUGGCUUAGAAGCAGCCAUCAUUUAAAGAAAGCGUAAUAGCUCACUGGUCGAGUCGGCCUGCGCGGAAGAUGUAACGGGGCUAAACCAUGCACCGAAGCUGCGGCAGCGACACUAUGUGUUGUUGGGUAGGGGAGCGUUCUGUAAGCCUGUGAAGGUGGCCUGUGAGGGUUGCUGGAGGUAUCAGAAGUGCGAAUGCUGACAUAAGUAACGAUAAAGCGGGUGAAAAGCCCGCUCGCCGGAAGACCAAGGGUUCCUGUCCAACGUUAAUCGGGGCAGGGUGAGUCGACCCCUAAGGCGAGGCCGAAAGGCGUAGUCGAUGGGAAACAGGUUAAUAUUCCUGUACUUGGUGUUACUGCGAAGGGGGGACGGAGAAGGCUAUGUUGGCCGGGCGACGGUUGUCCCGGUUUAAGCGUGUAGGCUGAUUUUCCAGGCAAAUCCGGAAAAUCAAGGCUGAGGCGUGAUGACGAGGCACUACGGUGCUGAAGCAACAAAUGCCCUGCUUCCAGGAAAAGCCUCUAAGCAUCAGGUAACAUCAAAUCGUACCCCAAACCGACACAGGUGGUCAGGUAGAGAAUACCAAGGCGCUUGAGAGAACUCGGGUGAAGGAACUAGGCAAAAUGGUGCCGUAACUUCGGGAGAAGGCACGCUGAUAUGUAGGUGAAGCGACUUGCUCGUGGAGCUGAAAUCAGUCGAAGAUACCAGCUGGCUGCAACUGUUUAUUAAAAACACAGCACUGUGCAAACACGAAAGUGGACGUAUACGGUGUGACGCCUGCCCGGUGCCGGAAGGUUAAUUGAUGGGGUUAGCGGUAACGCGAAGCUCUUGAUCGAAGCCCCGGUAAACGGCGGCCGUAACUAUAACGGUCCUAAGGUAGCGAAAUUCCUUGUCGGGUAAGUUCCGACCUGCACGAAUGGCGUAAUGAUGGCCAGGCUGUCUCCACCCGAGACUCAGUGAAAUUGAACUCGCUGUGAAGAUGCAGUGUACCCGCGGCAAGACGGAAAGACCCCGUGAACCUUUACUAUAGCUUGACACUGAACAUUGAGCCUUGAUGUGUAGGAUAGGUGGGAGGCUUUGAAGUGUGGACGCCAGUCUGCAUGGAGCCGACCUUGAAAUACCACCCUUUAAUGUUUGAUGUUCUAACGUUGACCCGUGAUCCGGGUUGCGGACAGUGUCUGGUGGGUAGUUUGACUGGGGCGGUCUCCUCCUAAAGAGUAACGGAGGAGCACGAAGGUUGGCUAAUCCUGGUCGGACAUCAGGAGGUUAGUGCAAUGGCAUAAGCCAGCUUGACUGCGAGCGUGACGGCGCGAGCAGGUGCGAAAGCAGGUCAUAGUGAUCCGGUGGUUCUGAAUGGAAGGGCCAUCGCUCAACGGAUAAAAGGUACUCCGGGGAUAACAGGCUGAUACCGCC
Molecule: ribosomal RNA, 2453 nt
Filed under: Escherichia coli LAU-EC5
Lineage: Bacteria; Pseudomonadati; Pseudomonadota; Gammaproteobacteria; Enterobacterales; Enterobacteriaceae
Description: bacterial LSU rRNA
Rfam family: Bacterial large subunit ribosomal RNA
Source: RNAcentral